This 855-nucleotide long non-coding RNA is filed under the name Callithrix jacchus (white-tufted-ear marmoset). Its description in RNAcentral is "lncRNA (ENSCJAG00000072835.1)". The record is from RNAcentral. Lineage: Eukaryota; Metazoa; Chordata; Mammalia; Primates; Cebidae.
GAUACAUUUCAGACUCAAUAACACAUCUCAAUAAGGUUUGGUCUGCCUAAUUGCUGCCUCCUCUGAAGCCGUGCCCACUACCAUGGCCCCUGCUGUCUAAGCUCCAGCCUCUGAGGCCUCACUUCUGUUCUGCUGUCUGAAACCCUCUUUCUAAUUCUCCAAAAUGGCAGAUUAGAGAUGAUCACAAAUUCAUUGACAUUUCUCCAUCAACAGGUGGAAAUAUGUGUUCCCUCCCCUUGAAUCCGGACACGCUAUCUGACCAAUCAGGUCCAAGAGACAUAACACUCUGGUGUUUUGCGACCUUCAGCCACAGACUAGAAGCUACCAUCUUCUCUCUCUUUCUCUCUUUCCACCUGGAGCUGCCAUAUAAGAAGCCUGACUGCUUUGCUAGAGAGGAAAGAGUCUUCUUUGAAGCUCGUCUCCCCAUAUCUGGACUUUGUCAAGCAAUAUGGUCGGAAAAGGAUGUGACAGACAAUCACAAAAACAAGUUGACCUUUAUGUGUUCCUCAAACCCAGUCGUGAAGGGCCCUCGUGACUGGGUCUCAUGCCAAUCAACUCGUUAAAAAGAGCUGGGGUCCCAGACUGUGCCAAAGCUUCGUGAGACCUCUCCUUGUCUGUGCACGGAUGAGUAGUUAACUCUGGAGCCCAGAAGCUGUUGCUUCGUGGUCUGGUGGUGAGUCCUCCGUAGUCUGGUGAGUGUAGUGUCUGACUCUGGAGCCCAGGCUGUUGCUUCGUGGUCUGGUGGUGAGUCCUCCAUAGUCUGGUGAGUGUAGUGUCUGACUCUGGAGCCCAGGCUCUUGCUUCCCAGUCCGGUGGUGAAUCCUCCAUUGCCUGGUACUUGCAAAUAUCUUUUCC